RNAcentral lists this ribosomal RNA (378 nucleotides) under Fomitopsis sp. BAB-3693. RNAcentral describes it as "eukaryotic LSU rRNA". The stretch from base 1 to 99 matches the Rfam family "5.8S ribosomal RNA", at positions 56 to 154 of the family's 154-position model. The record is from RNAcentral. Lineage: Eukaryota; Fungi; Basidiomycota; Agaricomycetes; Polyporales; Fomitopsidaceae.
CGAUACUUGGUGUGAAUUGCAGAAUUCAGUGAAUCAUCGAAUCUUUGAACGCACCUUGCGCUCCUUGGUAUUCCGAGGAGCAUGCCUGUUUGAGUGUCAUGGAACUAUCAACUCUAGUUGCUUGUGUAAUCAGAGUUGGAUGUGGAGGUUGUUUGCUGGGCCCACUUUGGUGUUCAGCUCCUCUUAAAUUUAUUAGCUUGAGCUCUUUGAGUGGAUUGGCUUUGGUGUGAUAAUUGUCUGCACCAUGCUGUGAAGCUAGGCUUUGGCUUUGAAUGUGUCCUCCCCCCUCUGGGGUGUGAGAACAAUUAACCCUUGGACCUCAAAUUCAAGGUAGGAUGGUCGUCCCGCUGAACUUAAGCAUAUCAAUAAGCGGAGGAA